RNAcentral lists this ribosomal RNA (253 nucleotides) under uncultured bacterium. RNAcentral's name for it is "partial 16S ribosomal RNA". It matches the Rfam family "Bacterial small subunit ribosomal RNA", at positions 524 to 776 of the family's 1533-position model. The record is from RNAcentral.
UACGUAGGGUGCGAGCGUUAAUCGGAAUUACUGGGCGUAAAGCGUGCGCAGGCGGUUUUGUAAGCCAGAUGUGAAAUCCCCGGGCUUAACCUGGGAAUGGCAUUUGGGACUGCAAGGCUGGAGUGUGGCAGAGGAGACUGGAAUUCCUGGUGUAGCAGUGAAAUGUGUUGAUAUUGGAAGGAACACCGGAGGCGAAAGCGGUGUACUGGGGCUGGUCUGACGCUGAGGCACGAAAGCCAGGGGAGCGAACGGG